Long non-coding RNA from Portunus trituberculatus (swimming crab), 552 nucleotides. RefSeq lists it as uncharacterized. NCBI's taxonomy places the organism in Eukaryota, Metazoa, Arthropoda, Malacostraca, Decapoda, Portunidae. The transcript is spliced from 2 exons. The record is from RefSeq and is a predicted model, not a curated record.
UAACAAUCGGUGCCUAGCGGCUGUAGAAAGCAGUCGCAAAACAAGACUAACAUGUUGGUCUUGCUAGUCGAUUUGUGACUUUAUUUACGUCGUGACGUCACGGAGUAAGCUCUGAAAAUAUCAGGAGCAAAUUGGUACGUGUGAACCCGCCUUUAGUGUGUGUGUGUGUGUGUGUGAUAGUGCCAGGCAGGGCAGUGCGCAUACAGUUCUUCAUUACAUGACGUGUGAUGACGUCACGCUGUUUUUCCGCUAAUAUAAUCAACCGACUCUCGUCUCUCAGUUUGUGGCCUACGAGAGGCCAAGGCAGGAGCACGUGACCCGUAAAUAAGCGGAACUUCACUUCCUUGGCGAGAGUGGUUUCAGCUGGGAACAGGGUGAGGACUGAGGACCUCCAUCAGUUUACGAGCGGCUAGCUGUGACUCUUCAUCGUAGCCACCGCCGCCACCACCAUCAGCGCUAACGCCCCCACUGCUGGAAGAGGAGACACACACAUUUAAAAAAGUCUGCAAAUUUGUCAAUGUAAGCAAAAUUCUAAUAAAUUGAUAACUGUAA